UACAGAGGGGGCAAGCGUUGUUCGGAAUUACUGGGCGUAAAGGGCGCGUAGGCGGCCUGCUAAGUCGAACGUGAAAUCCCCGGGCUCAACCCGGGAACUGCGUCCGAUACUGGCAGGCUUGAAUCCGGGAGAGGGAUGCGGAAUUCCAGGUGUAGCGGUGAAAUGCGUAGAUAUCUGGAGGAACACCGGUGGCGAAGGCGGCAUCCUGGACCGAGAUUGACGCUGAGGCGCGAAAGCCAGGGGAGCAAACGGG
RNAcentral lists this ribosomal RNA (253 nucleotides) under uncultured bacterium. Its description in RNAcentral is "partial 16S ribosomal RNA". It matches the Rfam family "Bacterial small subunit ribosomal RNA", at positions 524 to 776 of the family's 1533-position model. The record is from RNAcentral.